This 28251-nucleotide long non-coding RNA is filed under the name Daucus carota (carrot). RNAcentral describes it as "long non-coding RNA (DCAR_LNC002780)". The record is from RNAcentral. Lineage: Eukaryota; Viridiplantae; Streptophyta; Magnoliopsida; Apiales; Apiaceae.
UUCUAGUGUAGCAAGCUUCCGGAGAUUUCUCCAGUGGUCACCAUAAGGGGACUGGACCAUAGUUGUGUAAUUGUAGCCUAUGUGCUUUCCCAUAAUUAGGCGAGGGCGGUUUGCUAGAAUUAUGUCAUUUUUAGUGAAACAUUCUUCAGCAGUAGAGGGGGAUGACACAACAACUAGAAGGCGUGAUCCAAAAUGGAGUGAAAUAAUCGGCCCAUUCUUAGAGAGGUCAUGGAAGGUUCUAUGGAGCAAGGGCUUGCCUUUGAGGAGGUAGAGGUGGCCUAAUAAUGGAAAUUUUGGUUUCGGGCUUGGUGGUAAACGAUAUGUUUUUGAUUUAAAAUGAGAUUUUGCUGCAAGAAGAAUGAACAAAAGGGGGAGAGAUGCAUAUAAUAAAAGUUGCAAAUUCGCUUCCAUAAUAUAGCUUGGAGUAAGCUUGGAUACUUUUAGGUAUAGUAUGAGAUAUUGAUAUCUUCAUAUAUAAAUAUAUCAACAUAGAUGAAACUAGGCGUAAAACCGGUUAAACCAGGAACCUGUUAGAGAAUGGCCCUUUCCAGGAUCUUAUAUUCUAAGAUUCCCCCUCACUCGAGAGCCCAUCGAAGAGUGGAUCACGGGCGCUCAUCUUUGGAGCAUUAAUUUGCCAUUCGUGCCACUAUAAAUUGUGAGAAUAUUGGGGGUGGCAGGGAUCGAUCUUAUAUUCUAAGAUUCCCCCUCACUCGAGAGCCCAUCGAAGAGUGGAUCACGGGCGCUCAUCUUUGGAGCAUUAAUUUGCCAUUCGUGCCACUAUAAAUUGUGAGAAUAUUGGGGGUGGCAGGGAUCGAACCCGAGUCCUCCGCCAACCUCGCUCUGAUACCAUGUCAAGGAACCAGUUACUCUAAAACCUCAAGGUGUUAGAGAAUGGCCCUUCCAGGAUCUUAUAUUCUAACACAUGAUACUGUUACGAUAAGUGUAAAUAUUGUCAGGAGGCUUUGGUCACAGAGAUGUGUCUGAAACACCCUGUCGAAUUUGGUGAUGCGGGCAGUGACAAGUUAUGGUCUUUGUUUUUUCGUAAUGCUAUUCAAAUCUUAUCCCUUGUUGGUUGUAAAAUUAUUGGUGCUUCUCAGAGUUGUUGAUCAGAAGGCAAAAAAUUGUCAGCAAAAUUUCAAUUGCCUUGUGGUUCAGAUGCACCUGGCCAGGCUCUCAAAUUUCUUAGGGUCAAAUCAGGCACAUCAUACUACUACACAGGUACACAUUCAGGGUACAAAGAGUGAAAACUACAAGGAACUUAAUUCACAGUAAUAAUCUAAAUAGAUGGGCAAUUAUAAGAGUCUCUGAUUCUGUUGAAUAGCACGACAUGGAGAACUACAUACUACGCAGUGAAGAACUUAAUUUAUUUCCAGAUACAAGCAGGGAACUUUGUUACUGUAGGAGCCUACAAUAGAACCUGGAAAAUAAAUCAGGCUGUUUUUAUACUAUACUUGGUCACGUGCUUCCUGUUACUGGAUUAGAUUUUUGCAUGGUAAUUCAUUUAAAAUCAUUGCAAAUUAUAUUAGCCUGCCUUUGCUCUGACUCUUUUGGACAUCAAUUGAUCUGAUCUGAUUGUAAUAUGAUCAGUAUUAAUUAAUGGGAGAACGGAUGAAUGCAAGUGGUGGAGUCUUAUUUGCGGUGACUCUUUCCCUCGACUCGAAUUUAAUUCAGAUUUAGUAGUACAAAUUUAUACAUGUAAUUCGUGGCAUGCAUCAGGGAACUAGCACUGUGAUCAGUGAUCUAUUCCUCUUCUCGAAAAUUAAUAUGAGCAUGAGAAUUGAUUAAAGCACCUAAUGAAUCUGACCUAAACUGUGGUGCUGAUAUACGGUCUUAUCCUUGCAUAAUUUUAGAACAUUUUAAAUCAUUAGAUAGAUCUAAAACAUUACAUGAAACAAACAACCAAGACUAAAGCAUAAUUAAACCAGUACACAGUCCGUACUAGUUUACAACAAGAGACGAUAUGACAAGUACUUCUAGACAUAAUAAGGCCUUUAGUAACAGAAAACACGCACUGCAGACUGCCAUAUAUAAUGAUUCUAGGGUGCGGCUGAUCCUGUGACUUAUAACUAUUGUGAGCCACUGAACCUGUGGUCUAUAACGUAUCGCGAUUUUGCUGGAACAGGAGCAGUGACAGGCAUUGCAAGGGGAGUUUCCGAUGGAGAUGAAGAGGGAGUAGGGGACUCAUGUGUAGAAGCAAUCAAUUGAAAUCUAUUUCCUCCGGUUAUCUUUACUGCAGUCAUUAGAAGGACCACUACUAGAAUUGUUAAUCCCAUCUGGUUAGCCAUUAUAUCUGUAUUAAAUCUAAAAUCUUGUAGUACAUGUUAAGGGUUAAUAGAGAACUGUCUUUAUAUUUAUAGACAUAUAGUAGAGGGUAUAUGUUAAGAGUUAAUCAGAAAUCCCAUCUGUUUACCUGUAUCAGUAUGCAUCUCACUAUGAUCAGUUUUACCUGAAUAAUGUUUUUAUGUGUAUUGCUUCAUUAGGGCACCAGCAUAAUGAUCAUAUUUGCAGUCCAUCAACAGCUAAACUGUACGUUUCUUAGAUGGUGAUAUGCGUUUGUGUGCUUAGACAAAUCCACGUAAAAAACAAGAGUGUAUACAAGCAACAUUUUUAUUAUAAUAUUUUGCAUCAUAUUUUUUAUAGUAGAAAUCGGGAAUCAAAACUAAUCGGUUGACCUAACAAUUCAAAAUUUAUAGGAAAUAUCUCGGAGAUUUUGAAUAAAUUGAAGAUUUUUAAUCAAACUAGAGUUUAAUCGACUAAACAGAAAUUUCUCUCAUUCAAAAAAAAGGGAUAAGCCAAGAAAUGUGGAUAUUGUCUUAACACCAACUUUGUAUAAUUUAAAAGUACAAAUUUGAAAUAAUUAUGAUAAUCCUUAGUAUAUUGAUCAUGGUGGGAGGAUGGGUUUGCUGAAGAUUAUUAUAAUUAUUAAUUGCAGACGGCGUUUAUGGAUUUCAGCAGCUGCGUUAUGCCAUUUAAUACAUAUAAGAAUGGCCAAAUAAGAACGGCACAUAUAUAAAACGGUCUUUCUAAUGUGUGCCCAAGGGCACACAAUAAGCACCAAUUUUCAUGAAAAUGGCUUGUUUUGAUUGGUGGAAUUGAUGUGAAUGCAGGGGGACCAUUUACAUUUAUUAUCCAUCCACCAAUCAAAAGUUAGUAUUCUCAUGAAUGUUAGUGACUAUUGUGUGCCUUUGGGCACACCAUAGAAAAUUCGUAUAUAAAAAUAGCCGAAGUCCUCCAACAAACACAAGGGCCAGUUAUACAUACUAAGGAUAAGGCACUUUGGUUAAUUAUGGGGAGUGUGGCUAUAAAAAUUGGCCACACACAGAAUCACAAAUAAUGACAUAUAUCUGCUUAGCACAUAUGAUUAUCGAGUUCCAGUCAAGUCGAGGGAACUCAACCUAAUAUUAUUAUGUCAAGACUCGCUACUCCACAAUAAUAUGAUAUUGUCCGCACAGGUUUUUUUUGGAUAUCUCCACUAGUAUGAUAUCUCCACAAGUCUUCAUACUAGUGGAGUUAUCUGCCAUGUUAUACUAGCUUUUGCCUCUCCCACACUUGAUAUGGGACAACUCCUAACAAUUAAUUCGAGUUGCAGUUCAACCAAAUCCGGUUUCAAUCUAUAGCCCUAUGUACAAACAUGUCGCUUAUAGACCAUCAACGAUUCAAACCCUAAAUAUCGUCAUAUAUGCGUCGUAGGGGUACUUCCAAUUUUACACAUACCCCACACUAAUAACUAUAAUUUUUAUCGUCAAGAUAACCUCAACUUUCUUCUCACGUCGGAGGGGCAUUAGGGCAUUAUCUGACAAGUAUGUACUUACACUCAAAUAUUUAAGAUAUUCGAAUAUAUAAGACCAAUUUCAGUCUAAAUCAAAAGGCUGCAAGAUUUAAAUUCCGUCAAGUUGAAGUGAAGAUUUGAAACUAAUAAUUAAUGGAUUAAUCAGUACAAUCGAAUUUGCAGCUGAUUUUACUUUCACUUGAGAAAAUAAAUCGACACGUCUUCUUGAAAUGAAAACUCUUAAAAGCAAGCAUAUAUAGUGUUGUUUGGUCACCAAUCUUUCAAAAAAAAAAAAAAAUCCCUUAUUUUUUUUUAAAAAUAGAGGCUUAUUUCAUAAAAAGUACGGUUGUAUGUACUUUUCUCCAAAAGUGAGCCUUUAUUUCUGGAAAAUAUGGUUAGCCAAACUGUCGCAUAGACAGCUUCCACCUUCCCAAACUUCUACUACGACUCCAGGUUGUUUAAUAUAGAUCCUUUUUUUACUAUUAACAUUGUAUGUAUUCAUAAACAUCUAAACGUUAUCAAUAGAUAUUCAUUUAAAAUAUGUAAAAAAAAAAGAGUUAAGAAUGAGCCACGAUCAUAGAACAGACCAAGCACACAAAUUUACAGAUUGCAUUAGAAUCUCAGUCUGUUUUUAUACACAAACAAACCGCAAUAUUGUCUCAGUAAAUGUAGCUCCAACCCAGUUUUUUAAACAUAAAGUCGAACUUAAGGCAUGCAUAUAUACAUGCGCGACAUGAAUCAGAUUAAUAACAUGAUUUAAUUCUUCGGUUUUUCUAUGAUGUGCCCAUGGGCACACAAUAAGCAGAAAUGUUGAUAAAUUUGCUUUGUUUUAAUUGGCUUACAAUCUUUAAUAAUGGCGGCCCCCUGCAUUCACAACAGCCACACCAAUCAAAAUACACCAAAUUUAUAGAUUUUAGUGCUUAAUUAGCAUGUGCUCAUGGGUAGACACUAGAAAAUCCCUUAAUUCUUACAUAAUAUUUUAUAUCUGAUUGAGAUCAUACGAUAGAAACUUAUCAUACGGUCUCAUUCACCUAGCAAUCAAAGAGCAUACCAAUAUUUUGGAAUGGCAUAUAAGAAAUGCUCUGAAGUUGCAUAUCAUAUGCAAUAAAGAUUUGAAUAUAAUAGGAAUUCUCCAAAAUAAUUUUAAGUGCUAAUAUUGUGAAGGACUUCUCUACAUCUUGUCAUCUUCUUUUAUGGACUUGUCGAUAAGUUGAUUUUUAGACUUAUCAAUAAGUCACUUUUCUUAAGUUGUCUUGACUUGUUGAUAAAAUUUCCAAUCCUCAACAUAGCAUUCUAGACUUUGCUUCACGAGAGUUCACGAUAUAGCUUUAUGACUUAUGACUUUGCUACAUGUGACUUCUCGAUAUAGCUUUUUGGUGAAAAUGCGUCUUACAGGACAUCCUAGUAUAUUUAGGAUUUUUCCUAAGAACCUGCUGACUAGCUCCGUCACAAACACACAUAUGUAAAUCGGACUAACCGAGCAAUAAGACCUAGUUGAGUGGGAACUUCGUGCGAUGUAGGGUUUGGGACCCGAUCUCCUUUGAUAAAAUCUUCCCACUGUCUCUUCAACUCGGGUGAGCGCCUGAGAGCUGGUGAAGUUCGGACCUCGUGACCCUUUGGAUCAAGGCAAGACUUGAGUUCACUGUAUGAGACUUCAAUAUGUAGUUCUUUGAUUUCACUAUAUGAAACUUCUUUACUUGUUAUUUCAUCUGCCGUAAGAGACUUCCUGCAUUGACUUCAAUAUGUUGUCAAGAAGUGGACUUGGCAAGUUUCUGAGGCUUCUAUAUAUUUAUAAAAAAUGCCCUUCUCGAUAUCAGCUUAGGCAAAUCUCUAAUUUCAUAAAAUUUAUUCUUCCAAAUUUUAAUUCUAUGUUAUGAGUCAUGAGGUAUGAAAAAUUUCAUAAAUUUCUGUCAAAAGUAGAGAAAUUAUUCUUAAAUUUCUUAAACUUAUAUCUCCAGACUUAAAAAUUAGAGAAUCUUUCAAUCUUUACAUGAAUUACACACUUUACUCCAAUCACAUUCGAAGUUCUCAACAUUUAGAAGGCAUACAUGAAUAAAUCUUGACAAGUUCAAGAUGACACUAGGGUCUGUUUGGGAGUGCAGUUACAAAUUGUUGUGUUGUCAAGAAAACUGCUGGUAGAAUAAGCGUUGUUACAAAAAUCAGAUUACUAUUUGAUAAGUUUUUGAUAUGGGCUUAUUUUGAGUUAUAAUAUAAAAAAAUAAUGUUUUUGUUGAGGUUUGAUAAUAAAAUCUGUAACAGCUACCUGCAAAAGCUGAAAAGAAGCUUUUUCCAAAAGUAUGACAAGAGCUUCUUUUUCCAAAAGUAUGGGACGAGCUGCUUUUUCUAAAAGCAGUUUUUCAUCUAAAAACUGUUGUUCGGAAAAGAUGUUUUAAAAUUUACCAAACAGUUUUUCACAUGCUUUUCAGCAAAAAGCUGUUGUUGUCUGCAAUAGCAACCCCAAACACUACCUAAUGCUUGUUAUAAUGUAGGCAUAUCUUAUACUUAGCAAAUUUUAUAUUUAAUAUGUUUUAAAUAAGUGCAUAAUAUUUCAAAUAGUAUCUUGAUAGCAAGAUAUUCAAAAUUUAUAAUACUAUGGAUUUUAAAGAGUAAACUUCAUAGCUGUGGCCAAACUUUACACGAGCUACAAAAAAUUGGCUAGGUUUUCAAAUUCUCAGAAAUGUGGCUAAAUAUUAUCUCCGCUUUUUAAAGGAGUUGCUCCCGUUAAAGUGUCGUUAAAAACUUCAGGUUAACUGAUAUAAUUAGAUUUUCUAAGGGGUAUUUUAGUCUAAUACUUAGAAAAUAUAUAUUAUGUGCUAAAAAGGAAAAUUGAACAUACUUUACCAUUACCAAACCCUAAUUAAAAAGAGGAAGCGAUCAGUAGGAAUGAGGGGAAGUUCAUGGAGACUAUUGUUAACCAAUUUUAAUGAGAAGAAUCAGAGUAAUAUUGGGUCACCUACUUGUGGGUUUGAGAGGAUAAUUCUCUGUCUUUUUAUCUAAUGGGCUUCAGUUAUUUUGUGUUUUUAACCAGUUAAUUAUGAUUUCGAUUGUUACUUUUUCUAGCAUGAGCAGUGGCCAUAGAUCUGUAUGUUUCAUUGAAGCACACAAGUGUUUGAUAAAAGUCCCUUUAAAAUUAUUUGCUUGAGCAACCUUUUGGAUCACUUGUAAACACUGAUAUAUUCAUGAUAAGAAGAUUUCUAGUGUAGUAAGACCCUUCACACACACACAUAUUUUAUUUUUGCUAUAAUUUUAAUUGUAUUGUAUAAAGGGAGUAACAUAUGACUAGUGUGAACUUAAUGAUGACGAAGGUUUAAAAUUAAAAUCACAUAAAGCAUCUAAAAUCACAUGCAAAUAAUGACAUUUAAAAUUGAAACAUGUCAAAAGUGAAAAGUUUUACAAUGUAACAUCCCUCUAACAACUUAACAAAAAAUGCCAAUUAAAAUUUAGGCUAGUCAAGAACGGACAAUUAAUGUAUCAUGUAACGGCAUUCUUCCCACCUAACAAAUGUUGUAUAUUAUUUUAAUUAUUAUAUGUUUCGUGUUAAUUACUUAAUAUGGAUGAACCAUUUUCAAUACCUAUUAAAUAUAUAAUAAGUAUCCAAUUAAGCCUUCUUUUCAAAAUCGUGGAUGAUUUAGAAGAGUUACUAUAUAAACAUACUAUCACAACUUAUGUUUACCGAGUUCCCGAAUUAUAUCAUUUUCGACAUUAAGGUUGAUUAUUGCUUUAAAAGUUUUAGUGAUGGUGAAUAUAAAAUACACAUGAUGAUCUUAUAAAACAAUUUUUUUAUUGAAACAUAGACUUGUAAAUACUACAUGCACUAAAAUCUAUUUAGACAACACCUUAUUGUGCACGAUGAGGUGUUGUUUUAUUUGAAGUUUUUUGACUUCUUGGAACAUAUUUUCUCAUCCAAACAUGUUUACCAUUAAUGGUAAACUUAGCCUUCGGCAAUCCAUUGAGGAUGGUAUAAAUUAUGUCAACUUCAAAGAAUACAAUUCUAGCAAAGAGUGGUUGAUCUCCAAUCUUUCUCACUUCUUCCAUGGAAAAUGAUUCAAUGCAGUCUCCAAAAUUUUGCACAAGAAAUUCGCGAAUUUCCCACUCGGUCACUGGAUAGCCUUUGGAAAAUGUAGCAAACAUAGUCCGAUUUUCAUGAGGCAAAACACUACUGCUAGAACCAUUAGACAACAUUAAUUGCAUGGAAAGUUGCUGUUGGCUCUCUGCUAUCCGUCGAGCUUCGUUAUGAAAUACAGUUUGUUGCAUUAAAUCACUAAAAGCCUGCAUACAAAUUUGUGUUCGAACUAUUUCCACUCCAGAUAUUGCAAGUGUUUGAUUGUUUUGCAAAUACUGGAGUGAAAAUCCAUGUAUGAAGCUUUGUGUAAAAUUAAUAUCAUUGACUUCAUUUAUGAGAUGUAGUUGUGGAUUAUUGAUAAAAUUGAGGCAUAUGUCAGCCUCAUCUACAAGCUCACUAAUGAGUUGGAUGGGUAAAUGGAUGAUUCUUCGUAUGAUGCCUAGGAAACCGACCCGCUCAAGCCACAACCAAAAGGACAUGGUAUUCAUGGCAUCCAUGGGAUCGCAGAAUAGUUCUGUCACAAGAAUCAUGUAUAACAUACGAUCCAUGGUGUGAAACACACGAAAUUUUGCUUCAGAAAUAUGGACUUGCGUAGGCCAAUUAGAGAAACCUUCCAUGACUGAUGUGUAAGUGUGUCAAAAGCCUACAUUCAAAAAUCAAAAAAGACAAUGUAUUAGUACGCAAUCUAGCUUAUUUUUUAUUAGUGUGUUCGGGUGUCAAACCAUCUUAGAAUCAAUUGAUUCUUAGAAGAUUCAUAAGUGGUAUACAAUUACACUUGUUACUUAUAAGUUCUCCAAAUAUAUAAGAGAGGUAUAGUAGGACUUGAUAUACAAAUUGUUGAAUCAAAGAAACAUUGAGAAGAUAUAUAUGGAUAUUAAAAAAAGAAAAAAAACUUCAUGAAUGAAGGAAUGAAAAUAAGUUUUAUUUUGAUAUCCUUAUGAGUUGAGAAAUAGGUAUGAUCAAGCGUAUCUAUUGUAGAAUGUAAAUAGAUCUAAACGAUAAAGAUGAAAAGAAUGCCAACUCAAAGAAAGUAAACAAGCUUACUAGUUUUGAGUAGAAGAGAUGUUGAAGCUUGUUAUGAAUAAAAAAAACUCUCACGAGCCCUUUUAUAGCAAAUUUGUGUAAUGGUAGAUGACUUCGAGAAAUAUUAUAAUAAAUAGAUAUUUACAAUUUUCAAAUAUGUACAAAGAUGCAAUUAACGCAUUUACUACUAUAUUUUUGUCAUUGUUCUAAGCAUGCACGCACUUACACACACACACACAUAUGACAGCUCAUGACAGUUGUAAAUCUAAAAGUGACAAGCACAAAGAAGUAUAUGAUGGACAAAAUUACAUGCAAAAAAAGCCUAACUAAAAUUUAUAUAGGUCCAAAUGUGGUUAAGAUUAAGAUGUAACGUCUUCCAGCCUAGCCUAGUCUACCCACCUAACAAAGGCAUUAUGUUAUUUUUUUUAUUUAAUAAUUAAAUAUUAAUUUUGGUGAACGACGUUCUAAUCUUACAAUUUCAUAUGUAUUAACACAUCAAAGUUUUAUAACAUUUCCUAAAUUGAUGAAAUUCCGUCAUAUAUGUAACACAAAAGAUAUCGCGAAGAUAAAUUAAAGAUAAUAUACAUGAUAAUACAAGGUAUGAAAAUUAUUUCACAAUAAAAUUUGCAUUAUUCAUUACGGUAAAAUAUUUUAUAUCCACAGAGUAUAUAAAAAACAUGUAGAUAGUUGAAAAUAUCAUUUUAUGCGUACGAGAGUCGAGACGAUAUUUAACUCAAUUUGUUUUUGAAAUAUACCAGUGGAAGUGAACAUCCAGAUAGAAAUAGUAUGAAAAAAUAAGCCAUAGUUAAGGCAGUCGUGACAUUUCUCGUCAUUAAUUAUUGAAUUUUUUGUGGUGUGUCCAUGAGCACAUGCUAAGCCUUAAAUUUUAUAACUUUAACUGGUUUCGAUUGGUUCAUACUUCUCAAUAAUUAUAUAUACUAGUUUAUAACCCGUGCAAUUCACGGGCAAUUAUAAUAUUUGUUAUUUUAUUGAAUAUAUUUUAAGUUUAACUAAUUUUAUUUUGAAAAUAAAAUUAUGACAAAAUAAUAUGGUUGAUUAAAUUUUUUAUUUAACAGCUGAAUAAAUUCUUAACAGUUAAGUUCGUCAAAUGGCUAAUUAAAAACUAGGUCGAAUAUUCAUAUUUUAAUUGGAAUGUUAAAAAAUAUUUUUUUACAAGUUAUAAUUUAAGGAGACUUAUAAAUCCAGAUAUAAACCAACCAAUCAACUUAAUAAUAUUUCGUUAUUAAUAAUUAAUACUAUAGUAUUGAACAUAUUAUAAGUUAAAGCGAAGAGUAAACCCAAAUACCGAACUAUCAUACUAACCUAUUUUUUAAUGUUUUGAUUUAUUAGAUAAUAAAAAAUGUAUUAUAACAUAUUAGAAAUUAAGGAGGUCUGUGGGUUAAAUACCAACCGACACACCAAACUCGACAGAUCGAUCGACUGACUGAUCGACCGACGAACUAAACAUUUCAUGUUUCGACUUUAAUAGUACGAUAAUAUAUAGUAUAGUGCAGAUUGAUAAAUUAAUUUUAAAGUGAGAUCACUAGAGAAUUUAAAAAUAAUGUUAAUGUAUUUUGGUUGAAAAAUAUGACCGAUUAUUUAUUAAUAAUUAUAUAUAAUAUUAUUAUAUUUUUAUAUAUAUAUGUCGCUCGUGUUAAUCGUAGAAGAUCGGUUUUUUUAGUUAGAAAAUCUAAAAAAGAUAAUGUUUUUCAAUUAAAAAGAUAAUUACUAUGUUGCUCGAUGUUAUUUUAUAAGAUUGAGAUUUUUUAGUUAGAAGAUAUAAAAGAUAAUAUAUUUCGGUUCAAAGGAAUAACUGGUUAUAUAGAUAGGCCCAUAUUUUGGCCCAGGUACCACCAGUUAUUUAUUAGUAACUAUAUAUAAUAUUAUUAUAUUUUUAUAAAUAUGUCGCCCGUGUUAUUUGUAGAAGAUCGAUUUUUUUAGUUGGAAAAUCUAAAAAAGAUAAUGUGUUUCAAUUAAAAAGAUAAUUACUAUAUUGCUCGAUGUUAUUUUAGAAGAUUGAGAUUUUUUUCGUUAGAAUAUAUAAAAGAUAAUAUAUUUUAGUUAAAAGGAAUAACUGGUUAUAUAGAUAGACUCAUAUUUCGGCUCAGCUACCGACCAACCAAAUUUUCAAUUUUUCGACUUUAAUAGUAUAGUAUAGAUAGAUGAUUUGAGUUUGACAUAUUUUUUCUUAUUUAAUAUUCUCCCACUUGUUCAUACUUCCUUUUUCAUAUUUAUAACUAAAUAUGCGAUCUUUUUUGAAAAAAUAUAUUUUUGGAAUAAUAAAGAUAAUAUUUAUAUAAAUUAUAUUAUUGAAUGUUAUUUGGAGAACUUCGUGUCAUACUAACGUUAUAAUUUUUCAUUCAUCAGAGGCUUCAACUCUUUUAGAAUCUACGUCAUAAACUAAAAACACUAUAUAAACAAUUCAGUAAUAAAUUAUAUGAAUAAUUUUAAAUUUAUAAAUUACUUAUCUAAAAUAUCUAAAUCAGUUUUACUAUAAAUGAUGUCUUUUAGUUGCAAAGACAUCCGCUUCCUAGAAACCGAUGUGUUAAGUUAAUUUUUUUUGGAGGGGGGGGGGGGGGNNNNNNNNNNNNNNNNNNNNNNNNNNNNNNNNNNNNNNNNNNNNNNNNNNNNNNNNNNNNNNNNNNNNNNNNNNNNNNNNNNNNNNNNNUUGGGGGGGGGGGGGGGGGGGAUAACGCACUUAAUCCCCUAUAUCGUUCUUCUUUAGCAGUAUUUUCCCAAAUUUUCCCCCAAGCCAAAAUCAAAAUAUAAAAAUUAAAGGAUAAAUAAUCAGAUCUUAAAAGCAUAAAACACAUAACACAUACACAAAACAGACCAUCUUUCUCUAUCUCUCUUUACCAGUUUCCCCAAACCCAAACUCAAAAACCCUAGAUUUCACCAAGCAAAUUAGCUCUAAUUCAUGUAGAGGUCAACAAGUAAUAGCUCAAAUGAAGGUUAAAAUCACACAUGAGGCUCCAAUUUGUUCCCGGCGUUGAGAGCUCCCGUCUUUGAAAGCUCCGAAUUGCAAGCUCGAUUUUACGCGAUUGCUCAUAUAGUUUAACAACAUCUCAAUUAUAACUCAGCACUGAAUUAGGUAUGUCUGAACGUAAUUUAUAUUCAUUUGAUUUUUAAAAUCUCAAGUUUUUGUGCAUGUUUAAUUGGUCGUGUAUCAUUCCUUUUUAAUAUAAAACGUAAAUGUUAACUGAUAUCAUUCAUUCUAUUAUUCACAAAUUGUUUGUCUAAAUUCAACUCCGGUCUUUACUUUUUGUUCAUUUUUUUCUUUCCUUUUUAAUGUUAUUGUAAUACUAAACUAUUAUUAGCCAAUCGUUCAUUUGACCAUUUUACCAUUUAAAGAGCAUAAAGUAGUUAAUUUUCUUCACAAAGCUAAUGAAGGACAAUUAUUGUAGAAUCCAAUUGGCAUAUGCAAGUCACUAUUUCUGAAGCUAAAUUUCGUGUGUUUCACACAAUAGAUCGAAUAUUAUACAUGAUUCUUGUGACAGAUCUCUUAUGUAAUCCAAUAGAUGCCAUGAAAAUCAUGGCCUUUUGGUUAUGGCUUGAGCGUAUGGACUUUCUAAGUGUCAUAAGAAGAAUCAUGCUCUUGCCUAUCCACCUCAUUAGUGUGCUUGUGGAUGAGGCUAACGUAUGCCUCAAAUUCAUCAAUAACCCACAACUGCCUCUCACAAAUGAAUGCAAUGAUAUUCAUUUUACACAAAAUCUCAUACAUGGAUUCUCACUCUAGUAUUUGCAAACGAAUAAAACACUUGAGAAAUUUGGAGUGGAAAUAGUCCAAACUAAAAUUUAUUUUCUGGCUUUUAGUGAUUUAUGGAACAAACUAUUAUAAAAAGUGAAACUUGAAGGAUAGCCCAGAACCAACAACAACUCUCCAUACAACAAGGAUGUCGUAUAAUGGUUCUAGCAAUAGAGUGGUGCCUCAUGAACAACAGACUAUGUUUUCCACAUUUUCCAAAGGCUAUCUAGUGGUCAUGUGGGAAAUUCGACACUUUCUUGUGCAAAAUUUUGGAGACUGCAUUAAAUCCAUUUGCAUGAAAAAGGUGAAGGAGAUUGGAGAUCAACCGUUAUUUGCUCGAGUAGUAUUCUUUGGAGUUAACAUAAUAUACAUCGUCUAAGAUGGUUUACCCAAGACUGAAAUUUUCAUUACUAAUAAACAUAUUUGGACGAGGAAGUUUGUGCCAAGAAGUCUAAGAAAUUCAAAUGAAACAACACACGUGUGCGUACAAUGAGGUGUUAUAUUGAACUUCAUUUGAUUUUUUGGAACGUACUUCCUCAUCCAAACAUGUUUACAGUUAAUGGUAAACUUAGCCUUUGGUAAGCCAUCUAAGAUGAUGUAAAUUAUGUUAACUUCAAAGAAUACUAUUUGAGAAAAUAGCGGUUGAUCUCCAAUCUCCCUCACCUGUUCCAUGGAAAUGGAUUCAAUGCAGUCUCCAAAAUUUUGCACAAGAAAGUUUCGAAUUUCACACUUGAUCACUGGAUAGCUUUUGAAAAAUGUGGAAAACAUAGUCUUUUGUUCAUGAGGCACUACCCUAUUGCUAGAACCAUUAUAAAACAUCACUUGUUGUAUGGAGAGUUUUUGUUGGUUCUAGGAUAUCCUUCAAGUUUCACUUUUUAUAAUAGCUUGUUCCAGUAAAUCACUAAAAGCCAGCAAAUAAAUUUUAGUUUGGACUAUUUCCACUCCAAAAUUUUCAAGUGUUUGAUUUGUUUGCAAAUACUGGAGUGAGAAUCCAUGUAUGAAAUUUUUUGUAAAAUGAAUAUCAUUGUAUUCGUUUGUGAGAGGCAGUUGUGGAUUAUUGAUGAAUUUGAGGCAUACGUUAGCCUCAUCCACAAGCGCACUAACGAGGUGGAUAGGAAAGAGCAUGAUUCUUCUUAUGACAUUUAGAAAGUCCAUAAGCUCAAGCCAUAACCAAAAGGCCAUGAUUUUCAUGGCAUCAAUUGGAUUGCAUAAGAGAUUUGUCACAAGAAUCAUGUAUAAUAUUCGAUCUAUUAUGUGAAAGACACGAAAUUUUGCUUCAGAAAUAUGGACUUGCAUAUGCCAAUUGGGGAAUCCUUGUCGUCUAAAGACAUCCUGACCUCAAGGCAAUUAGGACUGUUAAAAUUUCAUGCUUCAAAGAAGAUAAAGUGGUGCUCAGACCUAUGCUAGAACAGUUCAAAUUAAAGAAGACUAAGGAGAUUAUACAUGAUACUUCAAGGGUACGUGGUCAUCCAUCCCCGAUUACCAUUACAACUGAAGGCAUGGAUCUGAAUUUGUCAUUCAGAAAGCUGAGGGAGAUGAGACACAUUACUUCCGUACAAAAAUUUAAAAGCUAGGUUUGAGAAUCCACCUCCUGUGAAUGCGUUGGAAUAGGUCGCUUUGAACACCAUCACUUCCGGAUUUGACUUGCAGAAGCGGGUGGAACUCAAGGAAGAGGGAGCAACAAAGAGAAGGGCUGAUGAAGCUGCUCUAAAUGCAAAAGCUAGGAAGGCAAGAAAGACCGACGCAGACUAGAGGAGCACUAUAUUUUAUUAUUAUUAUUAUUAUUAUUAUUAUUAUUAUUAUUAUUAAAAGUAUUAUAUCCUAUUAAAACACAUAUAUUGAUAAGUUUUUUAUAAUAUAACGAUUAUUCAUAGGAUAGAAUUACAUCUCAACAUAACUCAACGUAUUAAUUUUUAAAACCGAAACGAUUUAACUUAGGAUUUAACUCCCUUUCAGUGGAACAUCGGAAGUAUAUAAUAUCAAAAAUUUGUUAUCAUGUUUUAAAAUUUUUUAUUUGAUAAUAACUAUUAUUAUACGGCUAUAAAAAGACAUCUAUUGACUAGGAAUUUUUUUUAUUUAAUUUUAAUUAUUAUUAUACUACUAUAAAAAGACUUUUGUAUUGAUUAGAAUUUCCUAAUGUAACGAUUUUUCCACUAUUUAUAUCAUAUUUCAGAAUUCAAAUAAAUAAGGAGGAAUAUCAAAUUACUAACUUUUGAUUAUCAUUAUAUAAUUUUUUUUCAAUAAUACUUAUUAGUAUACUAUUAUGAAAAGAAUCUUACAUUGACUAAGAUUCUAUAAUAUAACAAUUAUUUUACUAACAGAAUUACAUCAUCAACAAAAUUAUUAGUCUGAUUUUAAAAACUCAAACAAUUUAAUUUACAAACAACUCUGUGUAACUAUUAUAUAAAUCUCAAAUUUUGAUGAUCAUACAUUAUGGCAAGCCACUUUAAUGUUUUAGCUUGCUUUGAUAUAUAUAUUGUUGAUAGAGCCCGUCAUAUUCUAUGUUCUAACUUAGUUUUGCAGGAAGUUAAUAUAUCAGCAUAACAGUAAGCUGUAAUGUGAUAAUAGAAAGCUGUUACAGAGAUCGAACAGAAGUUGAAUUCUACCCAGUUUUUAUCUCAAGACAUCUAUGAGGUUUAGGACUUCUUAGUUGUAAAUUCUCUGUAUAAUAUAUGUUUUUACUUAAUGCCUUAAGCUCGUUUAAAAUCUAUAAAAUGUUUUCUAAAAUAACGGGAGAAGUUGAGAAGGAUUCAAACUCUUUAUCUCUUAACAACUUCUAUCUUUCCCAUAACUAUAGGAGUUGAUUUAUAGACGUUUUUCCUUGUAUCAACACUCCUAUACUUAUGCAUCUGACUUAAUGACGCUAAGAACAACAUUCAUAUGAAUGUUAAUGGAAGAAAUCCGAUUAUAUCCGUUAUAUUAUUUCAGCAUAUAUACGAUUUCAAUUUUCAUACAGACUACGCAACUCGCACUUUGAAAAGCAAAACAAUAUCUUUAAACACGAGCUUAAGUCUUCACUACCUUCAUAUGUUAUUUAGAGAAUAUAUCUUGAGUUGUAAUCGUUAUAUUUGUAAUUGAUUAUGGUAAUUAGUUGCUGAAAUUAGCAAAUAGUUCUUAGAGUUUAGAAAGAGGAGAGUUAGGUAGUUAGUCGCAUUGUUUUCCAGGUGCAAAGGGUUCAGGAUCGAAGGAAUUCAAGAAGAGGAAGCUCAACGAAUUCAGAGGUUCAAGGGACAGAUUGCUUGGAGAAGUCAGUGGGGUGCUAAUUGCAGUCAGCAUAUAGUUAAGGGAUAACAACAAGCUAUUUCACUGAUCGGGAAGGGGAGAUAUAUUAUUAUUGUGUAAUUGCUGUUAUAUGCAGUAAAAAUAUAUUCUCUUACCAAGUUAAUAAGGGACCAAGACGUACACCAUUAGAUAUAGGGGUCGAACUUAUAAUAUAAAUAAAUGAUCUAAAUUCUUGUUACAAGCCUCUGGUCAAUUAUAGCAACCAUUUCAUGUUGGCUAUAUUUUCUUUUGUAAGAGGAGUCGUCUAUGAGAGCACACAUUUUUAUAUUUUGUUUAUAUUUUUUAUUUAUGAAUGACAUAUAUACCUUUUGCUAAAGGCUUUUGCGGGUUGUAAAAUCUCUGACAGCAACUCCAAUUCUGCAAAAUCCUAACUAAAACAGAGUUGAUAUAUUAAAAAAAGAAAAAUAUAUAAUCUCCUCAAAAUCACACACUCCAAAGAUACAUUUAUUUUGUCUAUAAUUUUAUUCAAGUCUUUGUGAAUGACUGUAUUUAUUAUACUGUAACAAAUGUCACGUCUUAAUUAUCAUCGGGAAAAAAGUCUUAUAAAUUCAACAAAUUUUACAUAAUAUCUUAUCUUAUGGAUCUAAAGACCGACCAUUAUAAUCAACAGUCAACACCAUUGAAAGUGAUUUAAGAUGGUGCAAAAAACUUAAAAGAUGAACGGGCCAGAAUAUAAAUUCUGAUCCACAUAAUGAAUUCGAAUUGGGGUUGGAUUAGAAGACCAACCAACUGAUAGUACUCUGAACCUGAUUUAAAAUAAUAAUAAAUAUAUUAAUAAAUAUAACUUUUAUUAAAAGAAUAAAAAAUAUUUAUAACAAUACUUUAAUUGAUAUUAAUUAAUUAAUAAAUAACAUAAAUAAUGCUCUUUCAAUUUUACCAAAUUCUUUACAAUAGGUUGGGCAUGAAAAUUAUGAAAAAAGAUAUAAAAUAGUGCUAAAGAGUAAGAAAAGUGAUAUUAAACCAGUACUUAUUGGCUUUUUUUUAAGUUACUACAUAAUGUGGGGGUAACGUGAAGGCUGAGGGGCACUGCNGACAGCAACUCCAAUUCUGCAAAAUCCUAACUAAAACAGAGUUGAUAUAUUAAAAAAAGAAAAAUAUAUAAUCUCCUCAAAAUCACACACUCCAAAGAUACAUUUAUUUUGUCUAUAAUUUUAUUCAAGUCUUUGUGAAUGACUGUAUUUAUUAUACUGUAACAAAUGUCACGUCUUAAUUAUCAUCGGGAAAAAAGUCUUAUAAAUUCAACAAAUUUUACAUAAUAUCUUAUCUUAUGGAUCUAAAGACCGACCAUUAUAAUCAACAGUCAACACCAUUGAAAGUGAUUUAAGAUGGUGCAAAAAACUUAAAAGAUGAACGGGCCAGAAUAUAAAUUCUGAUCCACAUAAUGAAUUCGAAUUGGGGUUGGAUUAGAAGACCAACCAACUGAUAGUACUCUGAACCUGAUUUAAAAUAAUAAUAAAUAUAUUAAUAAAUAUAACUUUUAUUAAAAGAAUAAAAAAUAUUUAUAACAAUACUUUAAUUGAUAUUAAUUAAUUAAUAAAUAACAUAAAUAAUGCUCUUUCAAUUUUACCAAAUUCUUUACAAUAGGUUGGGCAUGAAAAUUAUGAAAAAAGAUAUAAAAUAGUGCUAAAGAGUAAGAAAAGUGAUAUUAAACCAGUACUUAUUGGCUUUUUUUUAAGUUACUACAUAAUGUGGGGGUAACGUGAAGGCUGAGGGGCACUGCUAGGAACUUUCUGGUGCAUGAGUAGUACUCCUACUUCUUUGUAGCUUCAAGCCAGAACUUUGUUUAUGAUAUCGCGGCUUCUGCACAUGGCUUCAAGUGGCUCGAGUUUAGGCAUAGUAAGUCCUCUUCCUUCGGCCAAAUCAACCUCCUCCUCGCUAAUUCUCUUCCACUCAAAACAUUGUAUUAACGAGGCUAAAGCCAAGCCAACGACACGUUGGGCGAGUCCAGAACCAGGGCAAGACCUUCUGCCCAUACCAAAUGGCAUCAACUUAUAAGGCUCAGCUGAUAUUCCACUUUCAAACCUCUCUGGCUUAAAACUUAAAGGAUCAUCCCACACCUUUUCAUCCCUGUGAAUGGAUGUCACGAAUUGGGCUAGAAAAUAUAUAGUGGGCCAACUUAUACUCUCGGACUUAGUGGUGACUGUUGCAAGCCCAAUAGUUGUAGAACAUAGACUCGUACUAUAAGUAAACAUAUUACUCUUACUUUGCUGGUUAUGAAAUGGAAUGAAUGUUUUUAUCUUUUAUUCUCUCUGCAUUUUCCUUUCCAGUACUCUUCUUUUAUGUUCAGUAGCUUUAAUUGCUUGUUCUAGUUGUUAAGAUCAUGACAAUUGGUAUCAGAGCCACCAGUUUCUCGGACAUGGCGGGCACAAUACCUAUUAACUUUCCUCUCGCUUCAUACUCUUCAAACCCCUUUCAAAACCCUAAUUUCACCCAUGAUUUCUAUCAUCCGUACCCAUACAGCCCACCUCUAACUCCUCUACACCAGUAUACACCACCUCCAACACCUCCGCAUGUUUACCAUCAUAUUCAACCACCACCAGAACCAUCAUAUUAUUCCAACACUACUCCCGAAACACCUUAUCUUACCAGAUCUCCAAUGCUAAUUACUGAUACCACCAAGGGUUUUCUGCAUCAAUUAGAUAGUAAGGUCACUCAGUUAGAUGAAAAACUCGUUGCAAUUAGUAAGUUUAUUGUUAACGGAGGAAUUUGGUAGUUAACAAAAUUCGAGGUUCGUGGCCGGAAUCAAGAUCUAUGAUGGUGGCUAAGCGGCGGUGAUGAAAUUUUAGGGGUGGCUGAGAUUAGGGUUUCGAGUUGCCUCCAGAUGCUCCCAACUCGUGUCCCCCUAAUUUGCCUACGUACCCCUAUAUUUAUAGGGGAUCAAGCCAGUACGUAGUUCUUUUCUCCUUAGGAAACCUAAACCUAAUAGGAUUAGGCUUCCCCUUCUGCUAUCUUCCUCCUGAAAGGGGCCCAAUACGAUGAGGCCUAGUCUUGGGCCUUGUAGACUCUCGAGCACCCAAAACUUACCCCAAAUGCAAGGGCGCUUCUCUACUCCCCGACAGGGACAACCCGCCAGACUACAGAGAUAGAGCCUUCCAGGGCGUAUCUUCGAGAAGGUUCCACAAGCUCCCCGACAAGGACAACUCGCCAGACUACAGAGCAAGGCCUCCUCUAAUCUUCAUUCUCUAUCUCCCAAGGAGGGCAACUCCUCAGACUACAAGGUAGAGUCUUCGACAAAUUAACAGUAGGAUCUAUACACACCCAAGGGCGUCCCCCUAGGUAAAAUAUGUCCCCUUCUGCCCUUCAAAUGACGAUCUUUCUCUGUAAGCUUCAACUUGGCGCGCCCUGAAAAUAAGGCGCGCCCUAUCUUCUUGAACUGGUCUCUUCUGACUGACAUGGCUAGUUUGGGCUUGGUCCAAUAUUGAGCCCAUCAUAGUCUUCUUUUAUGGGCCAGGUCUUCAUGGUGAUUUUUGCAUAUAACAACUACCCCCCAGAUCUUGGUGGCAUUGAAGAUGUCGACGAGAUCUUGAUGUCCUUCAUCCCCUGAGAUGUCAUAUCUUGGUUGUUCUUCAUUGGUGCAGAAGAUGUAGACAUUCCUUAAUUAGACGCACCAUACGUUGCCGUAUAAUAGCUGAGUCUGAAUAGUGCAACUGAGUCGAAUGGGGGAGAUUCCUCUGAAGCUGAUGUUGAAAAAGUUGUUUGAAGAUGAAGUUGAUUCUGCUUGUCGGAGGUGAAGAUGAUGUUCGCUUGACGGAGGUGAAUGCAACAUUUGCUUGAUGGAUGUGAAGGUAGUGUUUGCCUGAUGAAGACGAUGGCGAGGUUGCUGAGGAUGAGGCCACGGAAGCCGAGACUAAAGGAGAGAUGAGGCCGCGGAAGCCGAGGCUGAAGGAGAGAUGAGGCUGCAGAAGCCGAGGCCGAAGGAGAGGCCGCGGAAGCCGAGGCUGAAGAUGAGGCUGCGGAAGCCAAGGCUGGAGGAGAGAUGAGGCUGCGGAAGCCGAGACCGAAGGAGAGGCCGCGGAAGCCGAGGCUGAAGAUGAGGCUGCGGAAGCCAAGGCUGGAGGAGAGAUGAGGCUGCGGAAGCCGAGACCGAAGGAGAGGCCGCGGAAGCCGAGGCUGAAGAUGAGGCUGCGGAAGCCAAGGCUGGAGGAGAGAUGAGGCUGCGGAAGCCGAGACCGAAGGAGAGGCCGCGGAAGCCGAGGCUGAAGAUGAGGCUGCGGAAGCCAAGGCUGAAGAUGAGGCCGCGGAAGCCAAUGCUGGAGAUGAGGCCAUGGAAGCCGAGGAUGAAGCAGAAGAAUGUGCCUUCUACCACGUCUUAGAUGUGGAUGAGGCGUUCCCUUCUUAUCCAAAUCCUUCUUCUAAUCUGUAUGAUCACCCCCCAGUUUCGGAGUAUGAGCUUGACUUGAAGAUGCAGGUUGGAGAAGACAGUGUUGCGAAGAUGUGUUGUGACAUAUAUUUACACUGAAUCUUGAAGACUGGAGUGUUGGACGUGUCUCUGUAUACAAUAUAUAUACACAAUUUUAUUUCGCAAAAUAAUAAGGUUAGUAUUUACCUCAUGGCGCACCCUGUUAGGGGAAGGCGCGCCUCUCGAUAAUUUCAAGAGAACGCUGUUCCGGAGAGACACAUCUUGUAAAUAUCCUCCAUUACUUUCAUCCUGAGUUUACCUUACGAAUUCUUUUCCUGUCUAAAAAUAGCUUACUAAAUAAAAUAUUAGGUUAGAGAUACACAAUAUUUAUUAUAUAAACACCACACAUAAAUAUAUUAAUAUAUUUGUGGUGUUAUAAUAAUAAUCCAUACUCGACAAGAGAAAUAUAUAAUUCGAUUACGCAUGAAAUAUUUAAAUUUAAAACAUACAUAUUCAAAAAUAAAUAUAUGCAUGACAAGAAUAUAUAUACCAAAUGAAAGUUACAAAAAAUGAAAAAUACUUAUCUUUACAUUGAACAUGAGAAACUCCAUGCACCUGCACCUCAAGACAUGUCAGCGAUUAUAACAACAUAUGCUCUCUAUCUUCCGGUAUGUUUGUAUGCACUAUCACCAAGAUCCUGUUGUUUUUUCACAUUGACCCACAAACAAAGAACUCCAAAAUAAUAAUAAUAUAUACACUUAACAUGUACACAAUCACAAUUCUACGUGUCAAAUUAUCUUUAAAAAUAAUCCGUGCAUUUAUGUACAGAAAAGAAAUAAUAUAUGAUACGAAGGAAAAUUAAGAAAGGCUUAUCUUUAUUUUUGCUGGCUGCCAUUUAUGUCAGCUCGUCAUGUGCUCCUUUAAUUCUUAAGUGUCGGUUUCCUUUUAAACCAGCCAUUCAAGCUUCGGCAAUUUGCUCCAUUCCUUGGUUUUCUUUCUCUUCCCCUUCAAUUACCACUCUUCUUAAACCUGUUCAUAGCCUGCCGUUCUUUUGGUCCAUAUAAUAAAAUAUUGUAAUAUUCAUGAUUAGUAAAAAUUAUAAUAAGAGGACCUAAUAGUUUAAUAGCCGAGUUGGUGCACAAUCUUAUAAAAUACAAUGAUGCAUGUCAUAAUAAAUUCAAUCCGCGUAAUAAAUCCAAGUACAUAAAUAUGAAUUAAAUAAAGAAAAUCUUAUCUCUUUUUUUCUUUGAAAGUUGUUUGGGUCUGAAUUUGUUCUGCUGGAGUUGGUUUCCUUUACCGCAGGGAAUCAUUCCGCUUGUCCCUCAGUCAAAUAGUUCCGCGCGCUGUUUAUUGGUUUAUAUACUACAACCUCCUAGUGUUUGAACACAAACCAUAUUUUUUCUGCACAUGUACAAUUACAAGUAAAACUAUAUAAAUUAAAUAAAAUUGAAAAAAGCUUAUCUUUUCCGUUUACAAGUCGGCGCUUAGCUGGAGACCUCGGUGACGUCAGUGCACAUACUAAACUCAUGUACUAGUAAAAAGUAACAGGCUUUUGUCAUCCGGCUAUUCCAAAACAAGUCCUCCUUUUUACUGUUUUGCUAAUUUUAUGCCUCGACACAUAUAUCGUGACUGAUAAAAAAAAACUCAGGACCUUAAGUACGCGUAAAUAAUAAAUUCAUAUAACAACUCAAUCAAACGUAAUAAACAUGUCCUUCCAUAAAAUAUUCACGUUAACAACGAUGAAUAUAUUCAAUGUAUAUUUUGAGUAAAAAGCAUGAUUUUCACAAAACAAUAUUUUUUGUAAAUAAAUAAGUUUAAUAAUUGAAAACGGAAACUUAUCUUCUUCGUCGGUCGUAUCGGAAAUUUGUGGUGGCUUACGGCUUAAGUUGCUCGACGUCUGGCCGACUUGUUGCGUGCUUUUGUUCACAUCUCACACCCAUUAAUUCCCGAACUUUAUUUAAAGUUUAGGCAUGCUAUUGGAUUUCAAUGUGAGUAUCUUGUCGUGCAUGAUAUGCAUCCCAGUGUCCGAGACAAAGCUGUGACGGUAAUAUUCUCCAUCUGUUGCCGAUCACGUGUAUAAACUUUAACGCCGCAUCAUCUGUCCUCCGCAGAUGAAUCUAGAAACAGCCCCUCCUUCUAGCGCCAAUUUGUUAACGGAGGAUAAAAUUGAAAAAAGCUUAUCUUUUCCGUUUACAAGUCGGCGCUUAGCUGGAGACCUCGGUGACGUCAGUGCACAUACUAAACUCAUGUACUAGUAAAAAGUAACAGGCUUUUGUCAUCCGGCUAUUCCAAAACAAGUCCUCCUUUUUACUGUUUAGCUAAUUUUAUGCCUCGACACAUAUAUCGUGACUGAUAAAAAAAAAACUCAGGACCUUAAGUACGCGUAAAUAAUAAAUUCAUAUAACAACUCAAUCAAACGUAAUAAACAUGUCCUUCCAUAAAAUAUUCACGUUAACAACGAUGAAUAUAUUCAAUGUAUAUUUUGAGUAAAAAGCAUGAUUUUCACAAAACAAUAUUUUUUGUAAAUAAAUAAGUUUAAUAAUUGAAAACGGAAACUUAUCUUCUUCGUCGGUCGUAUCGGAAAUUUGUGGUGGCUUACGGCUUAAGUUGCUCGACGUCUGGCCGACUUGUUGCGUGCUUUUGUUCACAUCUCACACCCAUUAAUUCCCGAACUUUAUUUAAAGUUUAGGCAUGCUAUUGGAUUUCAAUGUGAGUAUCUUGUCGUGCAUGAUAUGCAUCCCAGUGUCCGAGACAAAGCUGUGACGGUAAUAUUCUCCAUCUGUUGCCGAUCACGUGUAUAAACUUUAACGCCGCAUCAUCUGUCCUCCGCAGAUGAAUCUAGAAACAGCCCCUCCUUCUAGCGCCAAUUUGUUAACGGAGGAAUUUGGUAGUUAACAAAAUUCGAGGUUCGUGGCCGGAAUCAAGAUCUGUGACGGUGGCUAAGCGGUGGUGAUGGAAAAUAUUGGGGUGGCUGAGAUUAGGGUUUCGAGUUGCCUCCAGAUGCUCCCAACUCGUGUCCUCCUAAUUUGCCUACGUACCCCUAUAUUUAUAGGGGAUCAAGCCAGUACGUAGUUCUUUUCUCCUUAGGAAACCUAAACCUAAUAGGAUUAGGCUUCCCCUUCUGCUAUCUUCCUCCUGAAAGGGGCCCAAUACGAUGAGGCCUAGUCUUGGGCCUUGUAGACUCUCGAGCACCCAAAACUUACCCCAAAUGCAAGGACGCUUCUCUACUCCCCGACAGGGACAACCCGCCAGACUACAGAGAUAGAGCCUUCCAGGGCGUAUCUUCGAGAAGGUUCCACAAGCUCCCCGACAAGGACAACUCGCCAGACUACAGAGCAAGGCCUCCUCUAAUCUUCAUUCUCUAUCUCCCAAGGAGGGCAACUCCUCAGACUGCAAGGUAGAGUCUUCGACAAAUUAACAGUAGGAUCUAUACACACCCAAGGGCGUCCCCCUAGGUAAAAUAUGUCCCCUUCUGCCCUUCAAAUGACGAUCUUUCUCUGUAAGCUUCAACUUGGCGCGCCCUGAAAAUAAGGCGCGCCCUAUCUUCUUGAACUGGUCUCUUCUGACUGACAUGGCUAGUUUGGGCUUGGUCCAAUAUUGAGCCCAUCAUAGUCUUCUUUUAUGGGCCAGGUCUUCAUGGUGAUUUUUGCAUAUAACAUUGAUCACGGAGAAGAAAAUAGUGGCAUCUUUACCGAAUCAGGUUCAUGUGAAUGUUUUUGAACGUUGUCCAGAAGUUUGUGAAGGCAGGUCUCAGUAUCAAUAUAGGGAAGUUGAAUCAAAUGAGCAGUGGGAAAAUACACGUAUUCAAAUCAUUCACGUGCUUGAGAGAAUGGAGAAGCGUCUUGCUGAUUUGUCAAAUCCAGUUAAGGAAAUGUCCUCAAAUAAGGUAAAUCAGUCUCUUACUACGCCUGCUAUUGUCUCCAUUGUUGAUGGUUUAGAUAAUUUUUGUGGAGUUAAGAAUAUAGUUGCUGAUGAUAGUGAGACUUUUAAACAAUCUCAAGUAUUAGAAACUGGUAAAUAUGCUCCUGAAGUGUUUGAUGUGAGCCCUCAAGCUGAUUCUGUUCUUUUUGUUGUUGAGUCGAGUGAAAAAACCGUGAAUAAUGAUUCUGUCUAUCAUUUUACCGGGUAUGACAUGAUUCCAGUUUCUAAGCUUCAGGAAAAUGAUUACGGUAAGUUGUUUGCCAAAGAAGAGGCCAAGUUUGUUCAUGAGAAGAACCAAGAUCUACAACCACACUUUCAUGGAUCAGAAAAAGUUGCAUUUAUAACUCUGGAUGCCAUAGUAAAAUGGCUAAAUGAGAGGAUACGAGGAUCUGCAAUCAAUGUUCAUUUAGGAUUGUAUAACUUUGUUGAGUCAUCAUUUGUCGAGAUGUACUCAAGGUGUGGCAAAUUUGAGUGUGCCCCAACUGUUUUGAAGACAGUGCUUGCAAUACUCGAGUUUGAUGGGUUUGACGAUUUUAAUUUCGCGACGAUCUCAGGCAAGAUAUCUAAGCAAACUAAUGCAAACCAAGAUACAGCACCUUUUCCAAGCAUAAGUGGGAGUCUAGGAUUUGGGAUCCACUUUAAAGAAAUCAUUGGAGCAUCUGAGGGAGACACCACCUCAAAGUUUGAUAGCCAACUUGGUAGUGAACCGAAUUCCUUGAGUAAGGAGAAGUCGCACACAUCUUUGACGGAUAUGCAAAUGCCUUCAAAAUCAGAAGUUGCCAAAGAUGGAGCUGCUAACCUGGGGGGACCAACUUCACCACAGAAACCAGUUUGCAGAAGCACAAAAGAAAUAGUCCAUGAAAAUUGUGAAGGAGAGAGAAGUACUCAGCAAGAACCAGAUAAAGAAACCUGUCGGAAUUUAUCUCUUCUGUCUCCUUAUGAGAAUUCUUCAAGUCAUCAGAUUCCUCAUAAUUCAACAGAGGAAGUUAGUUUUUUGGUUAGAAAGGAAAGUACACACUCUGAUAGUGAACAAAGUAUAUCUGGUGAAAAAACUGAUAUUGUGUUCAAGUCUGGAAAUUUACAAUUGGACAAACUGCUAGUAGAUAUAGCAUGCUCACAGAGCAACGAUGGCGAAACUAGCGAGUUUUCAGGUGAUAAUCCUGUCCGUAUAGACAACAAUGAUGAUGCGGAACCAGCUCAAAGCGGUACACAGUUUGAACAAAUUUCCCCAACAACAGUGUCAAAGAAAAUGCCCCAUGGAAUAGAGCCUGAUGGGGAGACUACGGAUGUGACUUCAGAGCUUGUUGCAAUACCAUCAGAUAUAAUGGACACAAUUAUUGAAGCCACAGGUGAUAAGGAACUGCCAGGUCCAAAACGGGUUACAAAUGUUGUCAGGCCAAAGUAUUUCAAGGGAUCAGAUGAAGCGAAGUUGCAACUGCAGCAAUCGUUAGUAACUCAACUAAAAGCUGCAGCCAUUGAUAGACAAAGGGUUGAGACACUCCAAUUAAGUCAUGCAGAUGAAGGUUCAACCAUGGUUGAUAAAUCAAUGACAGUAAAUGAAAUUUUACCCACCAGCAAUUCUGAUAGUUUUCAGGAAUUAGAUGAAACUAAUUAUCAACUGCAGCAGGCAUCAUUAUCCCAGGUGAAGACUGGAACUAUCAGUAGCCAAAAGAUCACCAUUUCACAACAAAGUUCUGCAAUUGAAAAGAAAUCCGACAAGAAAGCUGCACAAAUUGGGAGCAAAUUGGGUGCUCUUUCACGGCCAAGCACACUUCCUACUGAGCAAACAAAUGGUGGCUGUGGUUUAGUGGUAUUUGAGUCGAUGAUGAUACAUGAAGCAUAUGUUCUGAAUAUAAUUCCAGAGUAUUUGCCUCUCAAUAUCUCUCGUAAAAUGUUACAGCAGAACAAAAUACUUAAAGUCAUCAGAAAGAAUCUUGUGAAGAAGUGCAUUGAACUGUUCAAUGAGAUAGCUGAAAACAAGGAUGACUAUGCCAAGUUCUAUGAAGCUUUUUCAAAGAAUUUGGAGUUGGGAAUCCAAGAGGACAGUCAGAACAUUGCAAAGUUGGCAGACUUGCUAAGGUACCAUUCGACCAAGAGCGGGGAGGAGCUGACUAGUCUGAAGGAUUAUGUUACAAGGAUGAAAGAAGGUCAGAAGGAUAUAUAUUACAUAACUGGUGAGAGCAAGAAGGCAGUUGAGAAUUUUCCAUUCCUGGAGAGGCCCAAGAUGAGGGGCUAUGAGGUUCUCUUCAUGGUGGAUGCAAUUGAUGAGUAUGCUGUUGGACAGCUUAAGGAGUAUGAUGGCAAGAAGCUGGUUUCUGCGACAAAGAAGGGCUUGGAACUUGAUGCAACAAGAAAAUGGAAUACAAGCAGCAGCUAUAUGCAAGCAUUGGUGAAAGCUGAAUACACGAUUUCUUUAAGUUGCAUCCUUGAGGACAAGGAUGUGUUGAAGGAGUGGAGUAUGUCACGAAUUGGGCUAGAAAAUAUAUAGUGGGCCAACUUAUACUCUCGGACUUAGUGGUGACUGUUGCAAGCCCAAUAGUUGUAGAACAUAGACUCGUACUAUAAGUAAACAUAUUACUCUUACUUUGCUGGUUAUGAAAUGGAAUGAAUGUUUUUAUCUUUUAUUCUCUCUGCAUUUUCCUUUCCAGUACUCUUCUUUUAUGUUCAGUAGCUUUAAUUGCUUGUUCUAGUUGUUAAGAUCAUGACAAUGGACCAUGCAUUGACCAAUAAGAUGGUACCUCGUGGCACAUCAUAUCCCUCAAUUUUGCAAUCAGCUGAUGACUCAUGGGGAACUAACAAUGGUGAUGCAGGAUAUAAACGGAAAGUCUCUGAAAUAAUAUUUUCUAGAUAAGGCAAUUUAGAUAAAUCUGAUUCAUCCACCAAGUGGUCAAGUCCAAGAACACUGUCUAUUUCAUCUCUAGCUUUCCUUAAUGCAUAAGGAUUAUUGAGCAAAAGAGACAUCGCCCAUUCAAUUGUAACUACUGAUGUGUCUGUUCCGGCAAGUAUCAUAACCUGCAUCAGUAAAUCCUAUUUGAAAUCAGAUCUAACAGUUCAUAUGGUCAGGACCCGGGGACAACAGAAGAUAAGCCCUUACCACCAGGGCUAUCCAAUCGCGCUCAAUUAUCCCCUUAACUUACUUAUGCUAUUGAAUUUAAAUGUCUUUCUAGCUUAUAUCUUCUUAUGAACUUGAGAUAACAUUUACCAGUUAUGCUAAUAAGUUAUCUUGAUUACAAAGUUUUGUAUUAAUUUGGCGAGUGUUAAAUGCUAGAAUAAUUUAGAGUAACUACAACUAUUUCUCAUAUGUUGACUAAUCAAUUUUUUUUCUAAAAGCUUCAAGGAAGAUCCUGUCACUGAUUAUAUGUACAUAGGAAAUGAGCUAAGUAAGCGAUACUUACUGUCAUAAGGCCCUUGAUGAUGGUAUCAGAGUAGUAAUCAGGGUCUGAUUUCUGUAGUGACAGCAAAUGGUCCACCAUGGAAUUUUUACUCUGACCACGACGAUGCUUAUCGAUGAUAUCUUCCAAAAUCUUGUCCUUCUUUUUGCUCAGAGCCUCAACACCUUUCUCAUAACCAUCAUAGUCAAUCCACCUCAACAGAGGCACAAAAUCUGCAGCAUGUGAAACUCCUCCUUGUGAAAGCACCUUCAAUAAAAUUUCUCUUGAAUACCUUAUCUCUGCUUGAUUAUCCACAUCUUCGCAAAAGUACUUUUCUCCUCCAAUCAUCCUCGUUAUGAUAUUAAAUGACAACUCCUUCAAGUAAGAUUUUAUCUCCACUCUUGCAAACUCAUUUUGUGAGUUUUUUGACAAUCUUCGUAGAAGUUGGUUGACUUCAUCACGACGAAUAGGCAGAAACGUAUUCAAUCGAUUGGUUGAAAAUAUUUCGAGUGUAGCAAGCUUCCGGAGAUUUCUCCAGUGGUCACCAUAUGGGGACUGGACCAUAGUUGUGUAAUUGUAGCCCAUGUGCUUUCCCAUAAUUAGGCGAGGGCGGUUUGCUAGAAUUAUGUCAUUUUUCGUGAAACAUUCUUCCGCAGCAGAGGGGGAUGACACAACAACUACAAGGCGUGAUCCAAAAUGGAGUGAAAAAAUGGGGCCAAGAUUCUUAGAGAGGUCAUG